GACGAACGCUGGCGGCGUGCUUAACACAUGCAAGUCGAACGGAAAGGCCCUGCUUUUGUGGUGUGCUCGAGUGGCGAACGGGUGAGUAACACGUGAGUAACCUGCCCUUGACUUUGGGAUAACUUCAGGAAACUGGGGCUAAUACCUGAUAGGAGCUCCUGCUGCAUGGUGGAGGUUGGAAAGUUUCGGCGGUUGGGGAUGGACUCGCGGCUUAUCAGCUUGUUGGUGGGGUAGUGGCUUACCAAGUCUUUGACGGGUAGCCGGCCUGAGAGGGUGACCGGCCACAUUGGGACUGAGAGACGGCCCAGACUACUACGGGAGGCAGCAGUGGGGAAUAUUGCACAAUGGGCGGAAGCCUGAUGCAGCAACGCCGCGUGCGGGAUGACGGCCUUCGGGUUGUAAACCGCUUUCGCCUGUGACGAAGCGUGAGUGACGGUAAUGGGUAAAGAAGCACCGGCUAACUACGUG
This 468-nucleotide ribosomal RNA is filed under the name uncultured bacterium. RNAcentral describes it as "partial 16S ribosomal RNA". It matches the Rfam family "Bacterial small subunit ribosomal RNA", at positions 28 to 507 of the family's 1533-position model. The record is from RNAcentral.